AUUGAACGCUGGCGGCAGGCCUAACACAUGCAAGUCGAGCGGAUGAAGGGAGCUUGCUCCUGGAUUCAGCGGCGGACGGGUGAGUAAUGCCUAGGAAUCUGCCUGGUAGUGGGGGAUAACGUCCGGAAACGGGCGCUAAUACCGCAUACGUCCUGAGGGAGAAAGUGGGGGAUCUUCGGACCUCACGCUAUCAGAUGAGCCUAGGUCGGAUUAGCUAGUUGGUGGGGUAAAGGCCUACCAAGGCGACGAUCCGUAACUGGUCUGAGAGGAUGAUCAGUCACACUGGAACUUAGAAACCGGCCCGACUCCUUCGGGAGGCCGCAGUGGGGAAUAUUGGACCAUUGGCGAAAGCCUGAUCCAGCCAUGCCGCGUGUGUGAAGAAGGUCUUCGGAUUGUAAAGCACUUUAAGUUGGGAGGAAGGGCAGUAAGUUAAUACCUUGCUGUUUUGACGUUACCAACAGAAUAAGCACCGGCUAACUUCGUG
This 484-nucleotide ribosomal RNA is filed under the name uncultured bacterium. Its description in RNAcentral is "partial 16S ribosomal RNA". It matches the Rfam family "Bacterial small subunit ribosomal RNA", at positions 30 to 507 of the family's 1533-position model. The record is from RNAcentral.